Molecule: transfer RNA, 73 nt
Filed under: Carnobacterium gallinarum
Lineage: Bacteria; Bacillati; Bacillota; Bacilli; Lactobacillales; Carnobacteriaceae
Also listed under: 1 other name
Description: tRNA-Lys
Rfam family: tRNA
About the family: Transfer RNA (tRNA) molecules are approximately 80 nucleotides in length. Their secondary structure includes four short double-helical elements and three loops (D, anti-codon, and T loops). Further hydrogen bonds mediate the characteristic L-shaped molecular structure. tRNAs have two regions of fundamental functional importance: the anti-codon, which is responsible for specific mRNA codon recognition, and the 3' end, to which the tRNAs corresponding amino acid is attached (by aminoacyl-tRNA synthetases). tRNAs cope with the degeneracy of the genetic code in two manners: having more than one tRNA (with a specific anti-codon) for a particular amino acid; and 'wobble' base-pairing, i.e. permitting non-standard base-pairing at the 3rd anti-codon position.
Source: RNAcentral
UGUCCUAUAGCUCAAUUGGUAGAGCAACUGAUUUUUAAUCAGAAGGUUGGUGGUUCGGGUCCGCCUAGGAUAG